GAUGAACGCUGGCGGCGUGCCUAAUACAUGCAAGUCGAGCGAACAGACGAGGAGCUUGCUCCUCUGACGUUAGCGGCGGACGUGUGAGUAACACGUGGAUAACCUACCUAUAAGACUGGGAUAACUUCGGGAAACCGGAGCUAAUACCGGAUAAUAUAUUGAACCGCAGGGUUCAAUAGUGAAAGACGGUUUUGCUGUCACUUAUAGAUGGAUCCGCGCCGCAUUAGCUAGUUGGUAAGGUAACGGCUUACCAAGGCGACGAUGCGUAGCCGACCUGAGAGGGUGAUCGGCCACACUGGAACUGAGACACGGUCCAGACUCCUACGGGAGGCAGCAGUAGGGAAUCUUCCGCAAUGGGCGAAAGCCUGACGGAGCAACGCCGCGUGAGUGAUGAAGGUCUUCGGAUCGUAAAACUCUGUUAUUAGGGAAGAACAAAUGUGUAAGUAACUAUGCAUGUCUUGACGGUACCUAAUCAGAAAGCCACGGCUAACUACGUG
This 497-nucleotide ribosomal RNA is filed under the name uncultured bacterium. Its description in RNAcentral is "partial 16S ribosomal RNA". It matches the Rfam family "Bacterial small subunit ribosomal RNA", at positions 28 to 507 of the family's 1533-position model. The record is from RNAcentral.